Molecule: unclassified non-coding RNA, 1266 nt
Filed under: Rhopalosiphum maidis (corn leaf aphid)
Lineage: Eukaryota; Metazoa; Arthropoda; Insecta; Hemiptera; Aphididae
Description: uncharacterized LOC113558868, transcript variant X1
Source: RNAcentral
UUUCCACUUCGCGCACACUCACGAAUGCUGCCGCCCCUCCGACGGACCGCUUAUUGCUCAUACCCGUCACUCGAUACUUCAUUAGCGCUCCGCUCUCUCAAGCAGACGGUUCCCUGUACGACGAUUUUUCUGCCGGUGCUCCGAGAACAAAAUGGCGGACGAAAUUGCCGCCCAAAAGCCGAAAAAGACAUCCUCCAAGCCACCAUCUGGUGCAAUUCACUGGCGUCGGAGCCUUUGCUUUUCCACGCCCGGCAGCUGACCAAUGGACUUGAUUUUCGUCACUUCUAUGAAAUUUCAAAUGGUAUUAAAACCACAGAUAUUAAUAUCAUAACUUACAACAAUGAUUGGAGAUCUAUAAUGUUGAACAUUUGACCAUAUAAAAUGUUGUCAGAGACAGUACAUGCAUCUCAAGGUAGAGUUUUAUUAUGUGGGUACAAUCUUUAAUAUGGCCAUGCUGUAAGUAAGGAUUUUAUGCUUAAUUCAAGUAAGGAUAGAGAAGUGGGUUUUCAUUACACAAUUAUUUUACCAAUUGGAUUGGUAUAUAAGUAUUGUGAAUCCAACAUCACGUCAUUAUUAUUAUUCAACCAUCAUUACACACAGGUUGGAAAACUUUCUCCACAGUUAAACCCUGAGUUAGGUUGUUAAUUCUAGGGUUUAUUAGAAGGUUAUUGUUUAUUCAUCGCUAUAAUUAUUAGCCAUGACCAGUGUUGAAGAUUAUACUACUUCAACGCUUAACUAAUUAUAUAUUGACUAAAUCUUCGCUUGUCAACAAUUUCUAAGAUUUUCCAAACCUCAUAUAUUAGAAGUUGGAGUUAUUAUAUCUAAUGGAUGGUCCUUAAGAUGAAGUGUUUAAAAUUGGAAAUGUGUUAUAAACAUUUAGACACAACUGGAUAUUUUUGUAUCUAUUACUUUGUAUUAGCAAAGAGGUUGGUGGAGUGACUGGUGAUCAAUCCCUAAUCAACCCCAUCUAAGUUGCUGUUGUAGACUCAGACAUGAAGUUAACUAGUGCAAAACAAAUUAUACUACAUACAAAUUAUUUUGGCUCUUUAGUUUAGAGCUCUAUGGGCUUGAAGUUGUCAAUUUUUUUUUUAUGUAACAUUUUAUUUUCAACACAAUUUUAAAUCUGUUUGCAUAGUGUUUAUUUAACACAAGUGCCUCCGUAUUCUUUAAAACCCAAAAAUGUAUUUAUUUUGAAAAUAAUAGAAAAUAAUUUGUAAACUAACAUAACUUAAAAGUAAUCAAUAAACACACAACUAUUUGACUUUA